UACGUAGGGCGCAAGCGUUGUCCGGAAUUAUUGGGCGUAAAGAGCUCGUAGGCGGCCUGUUACGUCUGCUGUGAAAGCCCGGAGCUCAACUCCGGGUCUGCCGCGGAUACUGCGAGGCUUGAGUGCUGUAGAGGGGGGUAGAAUGCCGGGUGUAGCGGUGGAAUGCGUAGAGAUCCGGCAGAAGACCGGUGGCGAAGGCGGCCCCCUGGGCAGUAACUGACACUGAGGCGCGACAGCGUGGGGAGCAAACAGG
This 253-nucleotide ribosomal RNA is filed under the name uncultured bacterium. Its description in RNAcentral is "partial 16S ribosomal RNA". It matches the Rfam family "Bacterial small subunit ribosomal RNA", at positions 524 to 776 of the family's 1533-position model. The record is from RNAcentral.